Molecule: ribosomal RNA, 442 nt
Filed under: uncultured bacterium
Lineage: Bacteria
Description: partial 16S ribosomal RNA
Rfam family: Bacterial small subunit ribosomal RNA
Source: RNAcentral
CCUACGGGCGGCAGCAGUGGGGAAUAUUGGGCAAUGGGCGCAAGCCUGACCCAGCAACGCCGCGUGAAGGAAGAAGGCUUUCGGGUUGUAAACUUCUGUUGUCAGGGAAGAGUAGAAGACGGUACCUGUCGAAUAAGCUACGGCUAUCUAUGUGCCAGCAGCCGCGGUAAUAUGUAGGUGGCAAGCGUUGUCCGGAAUUACUGGGCGGAAGUGGCGUGUAGCCGGGUUGACAAGUCAGAUGUGAAAGCCUGCGGGUUAACCGCAGAUCUGCAUUUGAAACUGUUGAUCUUGAGUGCUGGAGAGGCGGACGGAAUUCCUGGUGUAGCGGUGAAAUGCGUAGAUAUUAGGAGGAACACCAGUGGCGAAGGCGGUCUGCUGGACAGCAACUGACGGUGAGGCGCGAAAGCGUGGGGAGCAAACAGGAUUAGAUACCCUUGUAGUC